AUUGAACGCUGGCGGCAGGCUUAACACAUGCAAGUCGAGCGGGGGAAGGUAGCUUGCUACCGGACCUAGCGGCGGACGGGUGAGUAAUGCUUAGGAAUCUGCCUAUUAGUGGGGGACAACAUCUCGAAAGGGAUGCUAAUACCGCAUACGUCCUACGGGAGAAAGCAGGGGAUCUUCGGACCUUGCGCUAAUAGAUGAGCAUAAGUCGGAUUAGCUAGUGGGUGGGGUAAAGGCCUACCAAGGCGACGAUCUGUAGCGGGUCUGAGAGGAUGAUCCGCCACACUGGGACUGAGACACGGCCCAGACUCCUACGGGAGGCAGCAGUGGGGAAUAUUGGACAAUGGGGGGAACCCUGAUCCAGCCAUGCCGCGUGUGUGAAGAAGGCCUUAUGGUUGUAAAGCACUUUAAGCGAGGAGGAGGCUACUCUAGUUAAUACCUAGGGAUAGUGGACGUUACUCGCAGAAUAAGCACCGGCUAACUCUGUGCCAGCCGCCGCGGUAA
RNAcentral lists this ribosomal RNA (501 nucleotides) under uncultured bacterium. RNAcentral describes it as "partial 16S ribosomal RNA". It matches the Rfam family "Bacterial small subunit ribosomal RNA", at positions 30 to 523 of the family's 1533-position model. The record is from RNAcentral.